GAUGAACGCUAGCUACAGGCUUAACACAUGCAAGUCGAGGGGAAACGAUAUUGGAAGCUUGCUUCCGAUAGGCGUCGACCGGCGCACGGGUGAGUAACGCGUAUCCAACCUGCCCACCACUUGGGGAUAACCUUGCGAAAGUAAGACUAAUACCCAAUGAUAUCUCUAGAAGACAUCUGAAGGAGAUUAAAGAUUCAUCGGUGAUGGAUGGGGAUGCGUCCGAUUGGCUUGUUGGCGGGGUAACGGCCCACCAAGGCGACGAUCAGCAGGGGGUCGGAGAGGAAGGUCCCCCACAUUGGAACUGACACACGGGCCAAACUCCUACGGGAGGCAGCAGUGAGGAAUAUUGGGCAAUGGGCGAGAGCCUGAAGCAGCCAAGUAGCGUGCAGGAUGACGGCCCUAUGGGUUGUAAACUGCUUUUAUAAGGGAAUAAAGUGAGUCUCGUGAGACUUUUUGCAUGUACCUUAUGAAUAAGGACCGGCUAAUUCCGUGCCAGCCGCCGCGGUAA
This 508-nucleotide ribosomal RNA is filed under the name uncultured bacterium. RNAcentral describes it as "partial 16S ribosomal RNA". It matches the Rfam family "Bacterial small subunit ribosomal RNA", at positions 28 to 523 of the family's 1533-position model. The record is from RNAcentral.